Chlorocebus sabaeus (green monkey) is the source of this 2476-nucleotide non-coding RNA. Lineage: Eukaryota; Metazoa; Chordata; Mammalia; Primates; Cercopithecidae. The record is from RefSeq and is a predicted model, not a curated record.
ACCUCAUGAUCUACCUGCCUCGGCCGCCCAAAGUGCUGGGAUUACAGGCGUGAUCCACCAUGCCCAGCCUCCUUUUUCUUAAGAUCCACUUAAGAUCUAGUUAGUAGGAUAUUAACUUGCAAGAUCUUCCCUUUCCAUAGUACUGACUACUGGUAAAUCUACUUUUAGAUUCUCCCAAACUUCUACGUUUGUGUUUGGUAGAAAAGAUACUUUAAUUAAACUGGUCAAACAUUUUUACUACAUGGAUCCAAGACUGGAACAAUAGUGGCUUUAGAUUUCCACAUUUAUGAAAGGUGACUCAGAAAGUUAGCAUGCAACAGUCAAGCUAAAGGAAUCUGAGAGAUAAUUUAGUCCAAAUUCCUUAGUUGACAGAGAGGAAUUGAGGUACAGGGAAGGAAGGUGAUGUGCUUUGGAUUAAUUAGCAUGUCUAAUUAAUAAUAAAAUGUGGUAGAAACUCAGGUCUUCUAGUUUGCAGAAACACUUGAAAGCUCCACUCUGCCUCCUGAAGAGCUGGACUCAGCGGGAGGGCAGACCUUACAGGGAACAGGGAGUGGAGGGAUGGCCGCCCAUUGACAGUCGAGCGUUAGCAAGUGGGAGGAGAUAUCUGGCUUCUCCAUUCCUUCUUUUUUUCUCUUUCUGGUUUUGCUAAUUUAUUUAAAAAUUACAUUUGUUCAAGUCAAAUUAGCACUUGAUACUCAUUGUUGGAUUUCUUUAGGUCAUCCUGCUGCUCUCUCGGUUUCCCAGGGGUUUGUGCGUCUGCCUUGUGCUAUGCAUUUUCCCACGGCCUUGUUGGUUCCUUCCACAGAGGCAAAUCAGAGACAAGAGACAUCUUUUCCAAAACUCCAUCAAAAUGACAGAGCCUUGGCAUGGCCUUCCCCACCUCCUGCAGAUUCUGUGUCACACAGCUCACGGUGGACAGUUUGCCGGCUCUUGGGCAUGGCGAAAGAACGAUCUUUGGAAGAUCAGGGAAGCCCAGAAGUUCACAGAAAAGAAAGCUCUCAAAUUCUUCUUGCAACAGUGAUGCCAAAUCCGACUUAGGGCAGGUGCUUACUCCUCGGCUCUAUCACUGCGGACAGGAAGAUGGGGUACCACUGCUGGUGAAGCUUUGGUUCGUGUUCCCUCCACUUAGGCCAGCUUCCUGACCAUGAUGUCUGCCAUGUGCACAUUCACGAAGUUACAGUUCAGUGCAGAGAAAGACAUGUGUACAGAUACUUUUGGUGUUAUUCAUGUGCUAUAAUAGAAUGAUCAAGAAACUUGGAGGAGCAGAAGAGAAAGCACCUCAUUCUGCUUGCACAAGCUGAACACUUCAGGGAGGCUUCACGGAGGAGGUGUUUAAGAUGAUGCCUGCUUCCCCUUCCGCCAUAACUGUAAGCUUCCUGAGGCCUCCCCUGCCGUGUGGAACUGUGUAAAUUCUAGAGUCUCAUCACUGGGAGCACACAGCAGGCAAUGGUCAUGAAAACAUCUCUAUCCAGGUCCUCUGGGGAUCGUCCUCUCCCUUUAGAGCCUGGUGGCUUGUCACUCCGUGGUCCUCUCCUGGGCGCCACACCAGUGCACAAAUGCUGCACAGAUUCCUGCGGGUGCACAUGGAACCUGGGCUCACGAUCAAAGAGAAUUCUCAGCCUGUCUACCAGUGUUCAAAGUUCAGACUUCAGACUACCAAGUUUUCAUCAACUGUUAUUUCCAUAACUCCCGCUAUUUCUCUUUUUUUCUUGCAAGAAGAGACUUCACAAUCUACACAAAUUUAGAGGUGUGACUCUUCAAUUCUGCAAAAUUCUUAACUCCUGCCAGUUCUGGAAAUCCUUGUGGUCUCAGCAGAAUUCUGGAGCUUUCUUACUUCAUGCCCACGUACCUACAUGUGGACUACAAGGACUUCUGUUAUCUCAGGCUGAUUUACCUUUUCCCUAGAUCAUCAAUAGCACAGCUUAAAACACUGUCUCAGCCUGGCAUGGUGGCUCAUGCCUGUAAUCCCAGCACUUCGAGAGGCCAAGAUUGAAAUUGACCAUUGCUUCCAGACAUGUGUGGGAGUCCAGAAUAUGCCACUCCAAAAGAAGGAUUGUUGAGCUGAAGACCAUUAAGAAGAAACAGAUGCAGAAAAGCUCGCUGCCCUGCAUUUGCUUAAAUACAGGACAGAGAUUUACAAAGAUAAAAGGCAUCCUGCCCCUGUCUCUUACCGGGGAGAACAAAGGUUAACCACUGAAGACAGUUUUAGACCAUUAUCUGCCAGGAGUUGGAGCCAGAGGAAUCUACCUGAACAUGCAUUACCAACUCGCCUUUAUCUGCCAGUUACUUGCUUCCCUGCUGACAAGCCCCCUCUAGAGACCCAAAGUCCUUUUCCUUUGUCCUGUCACUUCUCUAAAAAUCACUAUUCUUUGUUGAAGAUGCUAUACAAGCUGGAGUUCAAAGCUACUUCUUUGAGAACUACUCCUUCCCUGGGUGUCUGCCGUGUAGAUGUGAAAUAUACAUGUAAAUAAACUUG